ACUCCGCCGCGCCCUGCGGGCUUUCUUUUCCAGGCCCCUGCUCCUGGGUCCUGCCUCCGAGGUCAGGCAGGGCCUGUGGUUCCUCCCGACAUGUCACAGAAGCCCCAGGGACUGUUCGGCAGCUCUAGAUGGCCCAGUGGGGAGGGGCUGCCCUGUGGGCAUUGCUGUCUGAUGGCCUGAAGGCACCGCUUGGAGGGACACAUGCCUGGGGACAGUGGGCUCACAGAUGUCUUGCUGCUUUGCCACCGAGCCUCACAGCCAUCUGCUGACCUCUCAGAGCCCAGCAGGCCCCUGCCUGGGGGUUCGUGGAAUGCCCCUGGGGGUCUCAGACCCACUGCUCAGCUCUUGUCCAGGCUCCGUAUCUCUCUAGAUUGGAGGAUUCUGGAGGGAAGUCGGUGUGGCCUCCGAUCAAAGCCUGGUGCUGACGGCCCCGAAGUGGGUGGAGGGCUUGUUCCUCACCUUGAGCGGGAGUAACCUGACCGUGAAGGUUGCAUAUAACAGCUCAGGAAGCUGUGAGAUAGAGAAGAUCGUGGGCUCAGAAAUAGACAGUACGGGAAAAUUCGCUUUUCCUGGUAAGUGCAGUUGCCCUGUGAUGGCAGGUGGAACCCGGCUGUGCACACAGCUAGGCCUUAUUGUUCCCCAUGCUGUUCCCUGCACUGUUCCCUGCACCGUUCUCUGUGCUGUUCCCUGCACUGUUCCCCAUGCUGUUCCCUGCACUGUUCCCCAUGCUGUUCCCUGCACUGUUCCCCAUGCUGUUCCCUGAACUAUUCCCUGUGCUGUUCCCCAUGUUGUUCCCUGCACUGCUCCCUGCACUGUUCCACAUGCUGUUCCCUGCACUUUUCUCUGCGCCAUUCCCCAUGCGUUCCCUGCACUGUUCCCUGCACUGUUCCCCAUGCUGUUCCCUGCACUGUUCCCAAUGCUGUUCCCUGCACUGCUCCCUGCACUGUUCCACAUGCUGUUUCCUGCACUAUUCCCCAUGCUGUUCCCUGCACUUUUCUCUGCGCCGUUCCCCAUGCAUUCCCUGCACUGUUCCCCAUGCUGUUCCCUGCACUGUUCCCCAUGCUGUUCCUGCACCGUUCCCCAUGCUGUUCCCUGCAGGGUUCCCUGCACUGUUCCCCAUGCUGUUCCCUGCACAUUUCAUGCCCCAGACCUUCCCAUUCUCCCACCAACACAGUGGAUCAUCCUUCAAAAGCUUCUGUAGUGUCUCCAACCACUCAAGUGCUGGGACUGGGUGGGGGCAGGAUGGAGUUAGACCCUGCAGACCCUGGCCUUCGAGGUCCGUCCCCCUCAGACGUCUCCCCCAACACCACGGCCGGCUCCUGAAGGCCACAGAGAGAUCCACGUGCUGGACACUGACUACGAGGGCUACGCCAUCCUGCGGGUGUCCCUGAUGUGGCGGGGCAGGAACUUUCGCGUCCUCAAGUACUUUAGUAAGCUUGGCCCUGGGGGGCUCUGCCCAGCUGCUGCCCUCCCAGGGACUGCCCGCCCAGCCCCCCUGUGCCCCACAGCUCGGAGCCUUGAGGACAAGGACCAGCUGGGGUUCUGGAAGUUUCGGGAGGUGACAGCAGACACUGGUCUCUACCUGGCGGCCCGGCCUGGGCGGUGUGCCGAGCUCCUGAAGGAGGUGAGCCUGACCCCCGGCCCUGGCCUGUGCUGAAGUUCCCGGGCCCCUGGCCCAGUCCCUGGCCCUGUCAGGAGCCCCCAUGGCUCCGCCUCCCGGCCCUGGGCUGGGGCCAGUUCACCCCUUCCUGUGAACAGGACACCAAACACCCCUGGUGGGCAGCUCCAGAGAUGAGUCUGUCUCCUGGUUUGGAAAGAGCUGGAACCUCCAGGGUGGUGACCCUAGGCUGCCAGGCAGGGACCCUGGGAGGCUGGGGUCACGGGGUGCAGAGCUGGGUGGGGCAGGGGAGCAGAAAUGGCGCCUUUUCUUCGGUGUUCCGUGCAGGACUGCCGGCUGCUUGUGCCCCCGAAGGUCCCGUCGGGGGCGGGGCACAGAUCCUGCGGGCGCUGCCUCAGGGCUCCCAGGUUGGGCACUGCGAGAACCCAGUGUCUCCCUCACCUCGCUUUGUCUUGGCCCUAGAGGCUGGGCCUGUUACCCCAUUUUGCAGAUUGAGAAGGCGCUCAGGGAGCCGGGUGCUUUGCGCAAAACCAGGCAGCGAGGACAGAAGACCCUGCCGUGUGGCCCUCAUCGCAGCCCCGUGGGGCCUCCGGAGACCACGCGGGCCUGAGCCCCUGCACUUCUGUGUCGCAGGAGCUGAUUUAAUGGAGUUCUGUGGGGCCUCCGGAGACCACGCGGGCCUGAGCCCCUGCACUUCUGUGUCGCAGGAGCUGAUUUAAUGGAGUUCCUGCCUCAGACCACGAGGUUCGGAGCGCCCGCCCACCCCGGCCCCUCCUGGGCACCCUGCCCACCAGGUCACCUGCACCUGCUCUGAAUAAACUGUGAAGUCAA
RNAcentral lists this small RNA (2449 nucleotides) under Pan troglodytes (chimpanzee). RNAcentral's name for it is "processed transcript". Lineage: Eukaryota; Metazoa; Chordata; Mammalia; Primates; Hominidae. The record is from RNAcentral.